This 299-nucleotide long non-coding RNA is filed under the name Homo sapiens (human). Its description in RNAcentral is "HSALNT0135386". Lineage: Eukaryota; Metazoa; Chordata; Mammalia; Primates; Hominidae. The record is from RNAcentral.
UUUCCUUCUCACUGUUCAGAGCGCCCUGUGCAUGCAAAUCAAGGAACUGACUUGAGAUGACUUUCAGAGCUCUGUCUCUUGUGUUUCUUUGGCCUGGAAGAAACAACGCCUAAGUUUUGAGCUGCAUGAAGCUGCCUGACAUCUAAGGAUCUCUGAAGAGAACUGGGACCUGAAACCCAUCUGAAAUGUAUCUGCAGACAGGUCAAGUUCAUCGAGAGUCACCUCCUGCCUGACACUCCAGUCAUUAAUUCCAGCUGUGCUAAAGAAUAGAAAGAAAAGCCAGUGAAACUGAAUGGGUA